This 207-nucleotide ribosomal RNA is filed under the name uncultured bacterium. RNAcentral describes it as "partial 16S ribosomal RNA". It matches the Rfam family "Bacterial small subunit ribosomal RNA", at positions 568 to 774 of the family's 1533-position model. The record is from RNAcentral.
UGCGCAGGCGGUUAGAUAAGUCAGAUGUGAAAGCCCCGGGCUUAACCUGGGAACUGCCAUUGUGACUGCAAGGCUAGAGUGCGGCAGAGGGGGAUGGAAUUCCGCGUGUAGCAGUGAAAUGCGUAGAUAUGCGGAGGAACACCGAUGGCGAAGGCAAUCCCCUGGGCCUGCACUGACGCUCAUGCACGAAAGCGUGGGGAGCAAACA